RNAcentral lists this ribosomal RNA (511 nucleotides) under uncultured bacterium. Its description in RNAcentral is "bacterial SSU rRNA". It matches the Rfam family "Bacterial small subunit ribosomal RNA", at positions 28 to 526 of the family's 1533-position model. The record is from RNAcentral.
GAUGAACGUUGGCUGUGUGCCUAACACAUGCAUGUCGAGCGGAGUAUUGUACUUGUAUAAUACUCAGCGGCAAAUGGGUGAGUAACACGUACCUAACCUGCCUUAUAGAUUGGGAUACCUAGAAGAAAUUCUAGUUAAUACCAAAUAUUGUUUAAUUUCGCAUGAAAUUAAAUUGAAAGAAGCUUUACAGCUUUGUUAUAAGAUGGGGGUGCGCUACAUUAGAUAGUUGGUAGGGUAAAGGCCUACCAAGUCGAUGAUGUAUAGCGGGGCUGAGAGGCUGAACCGCCACACCGGGAUUGAGAUACGGCCCGGACUCCUACGGGAGGCAGCAGUGAGGAAUAUUCCACAAUGGACGAAAGUCUGAUGGAGCAACACAGCGUGCAGGAAGAAGGUUUUUGGAUUGUAAACUGCUUUUACAAGGGAAGAAUAGCAAAUUGAGGAAAUGCUUUUUGUCUGACGGUACCUUGAGAAUAAGCACCGGCAAACUAUGUGCCAGCAGCCGCUGUAAUAC